RNAcentral lists this ribosomal RNA (497 nucleotides) under uncultured bacterium. RNAcentral describes it as "partial 16S ribosomal RNA". It matches the Rfam family "Bacterial small subunit ribosomal RNA", at positions 28 to 507 of the family's 1533-position model. The record is from RNAcentral.
GAUGAACGCUGGCGGCGUGCCUAAUACAUGCAAGUCGAGCGAACAGAUGAGGAGUUUGCUCCUCUGACGUUAGCGGCGGACGGGUGAGUAACAAGUGGAUAACCUAUCUAUAAGACUGGGAUAACUUAGGGAAACCGGAGCUAAUACCGGAUAAUAUAUUGAACCGCAUGGUUCAAUAGUGAAAGACGGUUUUGCUGUCACUUAUAGAUGGUUCCGCGCCGCAUUUGCUAGUUGGUAAGGUAGCGGUUUACUAAGGCAACGAUGAGUAGCCGACCUGAGAGGGUGAUCGGCCACACUGGAACUGAGACACGGUCCAGACUCCGACGGGAGGCAGCAGUAGGGAAUCGGCCGCAAUGGGCGAAAGCCUGACGGAGCAACGCCGCGUGAGUGAUGAAGGUCUUCGGAUCGUAAAACUCUGUUAUUAGGGAAGAACAAAUGUGUAAGUAACUAUGCACGUCUUGACGGUACCUAAUCAGAAAGCCACGGCUAACUACGUG